UUUCGCAAUGCCCGAAAGGGUGACGAAGCGACGCCGCGUGGGUGAGGAAGGCCUUCGGGUUGUAAGGCCCUGUCAGGAGUUAAGAAAUGUAAGUGCGCUAAUAUCGCAUUUAUUUGACAAAGGCUCCAAAGGAAGCCACGGCUAACUCUGUGCCAGCAGCCGCGGUAAUACAGAGGUGGCAAGCGUUGUUCGGAAUUAUUGGGCGUAAAGAGCACGUAGGUGGGUUUGUAAGUCAGAUGUGAAAGCCUUCUGUUCAACGGAAGAAUUGCAUCUGAAACUACAAGUCUUGAGUGUAGGAGGGGAGAAUGGAACUUCUGGUGGAGCGGUGAAAUGCGUAGAUAUCAGAAGGAACGCCGGCGGCGAAAGCGAUUCUCUGGCCUAUUACUGACACUCAGUGUGCGAAAGCUAGGGGAGCAAACGGGAUUAGAUACCCCGGUAGUCCUAGCCGUAAACGAUGGGCACUAAGUAGAGGGGUUUUA
RNAcentral lists this ribosomal RNA (479 nucleotides) under uncultured bacterium. RNAcentral describes it as "bacterial SSU rRNA". It matches the Rfam family "Bacterial small subunit ribosomal RNA", at positions 364 to 833 of the family's 1533-position model. The record is from RNAcentral.